Molecule: ribosomal RNA, 109 nt
Filed under: Marinobacter sp. R17
Lineage: Bacteria; Pseudomonadati; Pseudomonadota; Gammaproteobacteria; Pseudomonadales; Marinobacteraceae
Description: partial 23S ribosomal RNA
Rfam family: Bacterial large subunit ribosomal RNA
Source: RNAcentral
GUUAUAUAGUCAAGCAACUAAGCGCAUACGGUGGAUGCCUUGGCAGUCAGAGGCGAUGAAAGACGUGGAAGCCUGCGAUAAGGCUCGGGGAGCUGGCAAACAAGCUGUG